RNAcentral lists this ribosomal RNA (164 nucleotides) under uncultured bacterium. RNAcentral describes it as "partial 16S rRNA". It matches the Rfam family "Bacterial small subunit ribosomal RNA", at positions 355 to 511 of the family's 1533-position model. The record is from RNAcentral.
UAGGGAAUCUUCCACAAUGGGCGAAAGCCUGAUGGAGCAACGCCGCGUGUGUGAUGAAGGGUUUCGGCUCGUAAAACACUGCUGUAAGAGAAGAAUGACAUUGAGAGUAACUGUUCAAUGUGUGACGGUAUCUUACCAGAAAGGAACGGCUAAAUACGUGCAAG